GAUGAACGCUGGCGGCGUGCCUAAUACAUGCAAGUCGAGCGAACGGACGAGAAGCUUGCUUCUCUGAUGUUAGCGGCGGACGGGUGAGUAACACGUGGAUAACCUACCUAUAAGACUGGGAUAACUUCGGGAAACCGGAACUAAUACCGGAUGAUAUUUUGAACCGCAUGGUUCAAAAGUGAAAGACGGUCUUGCUGUCACUUAUAGAUGGAUCCGCGCUGCAUUAGCUAGUUGGUAAGGUAACGGCUUACCAAGGCAACGAUGCAUAGCCGACCUGAGAGGGUGAUCGGCCACACUGGAACUGAGACACGGUCCAGACUCCUACGGGAGGCAGCAGUAGGGAAUCUUCCGCAAUGGGCGAAAGCCUGACGGAGCAACGCCGCGUGAGUGAUGAAGGUCUUCGGAUCGUAAAACUCUGUUAUUAGGGAAGAACAUAUGCGUAAGUAACUGUGCACAUCUUGACGGUACCUAAUCAGAAAGCCACGGCUAACUACGUG
Molecule: ribosomal RNA, 497 nt
Filed under: uncultured bacterium
Lineage: Bacteria
Description: partial 16S ribosomal RNA
Rfam family: Bacterial small subunit ribosomal RNA
Source: RNAcentral